UCACUCUCUUGCUCUCUCUCAAAAACAAAAAAACAAAACAAAACAAAACAAAAAAAGCAUGUGUCUGGCAUCUUGAUGGAAUGGCAUCCCUUAUGACCAAAAUUUCCUUUGGAGGAUGUGAGCACUUUUCCCUGCACCGGUUCAGAGCUGCACAAGGAGGACAAUUACAAAUCCCAAUACUGCCUAAUUCAGGCAGAUGAGGAGCCAAUUCCAGAGAUGCCGGAAGGGGAUCUGGGCCAAGACUCCCAAGUGACGACACUGAAAGGAAAGCCUCCGGACACCCAUUCCCAGCCAUCCUGCACAUAGGCCUGGGACAGCAGGCUGGAUCAGACCUCAAGACCUCUGAUUUCCACCUGUUGGAGGAAGUCAUCGAGCAAUAUGAGCACUGGUUGACCUUCAAGCUGGACCCCAGCAAUUGGACAGUCCUUGCCCCCUUCCUUAUCUUUGAAAUGUACAUCCUAUGCACCAUUCCCACACUAGCAGCCACUUCAAGGUUGCAGCCUUAAGAGAGCAGUGUGUUGUUGAGACCAUCUGGACUGAAUACAUGACAGAACUCAGCUAAGGCCUCUAUAUAAACUUAAGAUUCAGGGUGGCAGGGGCAGAGAUCUACUCAUCCUGAGGCCACCCAAGACAGACCUCAUAUCUAAGUCUCUUUGCUUAUUAAACCUGUCACCUACUAAUCUGGAGUGUUCUGCCUCUUCCUUCUGUCUUUCCUCACCCCUGUGUAUCAGGGCCAGUUUCAGAUUUCACUUAGGAAACUUCCGAGAUUUCAAACCAACAUCACCUGACUUCGAAUAUCUCCCAUAAUCCAUAUAUAUACAAAUACUCUUAGAUAUUUAGCCAGUAGUCUUAUUUUGAUUUUUACCAUAAAGUCUUUUGGCCAUCUGGAAAUUAUCUUUAUUUAUACAGUCUAUUUUCCACCACUGCAAUGUCCUUGUCAUAUUUUACUUUCUUAUAUAUAUGUAUGCGUAAUCAAACAGUAUAUGUCCUCAUUAAGACAUUUGCUUGCUUCCAAACAUUACCGAAGAGUGUAAGAAUCACAGCAGAAUUGGGUGCUAUUGAGGAUAAUCGCUAAAUUCCACAGCAACAACACGAAAGAAGAAAUUCUUGGCCAUUCGACUGGGGUGAGAGGCAAAACCCGUUUGAUGUUAGCGAAAGAGACAUUAGAGGGGAGACUGGGAACAUCAAGAGGUGACCCCUCUGGAAAAUCCUCGUCUUGUGCAGAAAGGAGGAAGAUGUUUAACUUGUCCCACCUGACUCCUCCCUAAGUUUAGGUCUGCCUACAGUCAUGUGUCUAGAUAGUAAUGAGCUUCUUAACUGGCUGAACAUGUCAGGUUCUUGUGGCACAAGAGAAAAUACAAGAGAAAGAUAGCCAGAGCUAAAAGAAGGUGCAGUAGCCUAUAUCCCACUGUUUAUUGACACCAUUUUCCAUGAAUUUCCUGUGAGUGUAAUGAGUUUGUCUAGAUUCUGAACCAACUUGUCUGAACCUACACCUGCCUCCAAAGAGCUGCUACCUAGGAGGGGUUCCUAGCAGCAAGAGGCUGUGGAGUGGUCCAAGUGUGGGCUCGGUGAGGAGGAAGACACUGCACCCAAGUCUUCCAGGAAACUGUAGGUGGAAGGUUCUGCAGCCCCUGAAGAAACCACCAACACACCAUCAUGAGAAAGCAAGCAUUUGAAUAUCUGCUGCUGAGAUGUAAUCUCUAGCCAGGCAGAGAUAACCAACAAGAAGAGGCAGGAACCUCUCCUUCCCAAUCUGGGGCUGUUCACAUAGAGGAAGAGUAGUCUAACCACCAGGGAAAUAAGGCUGCUCAGCCCAGGAGAGAAUGAGAGUUCCUUAUUCUCUGUCCAGCCUCUGAGGGGUGACAAGGGAUGAAGUCUGGAAGGACAGCACAGUCCACCUGUCAUUGGAGCUACUGGAGCCUUCCACUGGAGGAGGAGGGCACAGCUUUGAGUCUACAUGAGUAGAUGGCCAACGGAAAGUGGAGCAGCAUCCCCAGCCCACAAGUACCUAGGAGGGAGAGGAUCCUAUUUUUAAUGGCUGUGACAGAAGACUGUUGGUUUUUAUGUUCCAGACACAAUGCUGGGAAAGACCUUGUCCUUAGAGCUUUCCUUAUUCCAGAGCUCAAGCAGAAAACAAGAGUAAGAGCCCCAACCAGUAAGAAGAACAUGGCACUCUGCAGGACACAGAGAGCAGAAUGAAGACCACCCAAGCUUCCAAACCAAAAGGGGCAGAAAAAUCUAGAGCAGUGAACCACUCCCACUGAACAUCGUCGGUUCCAGGCCUCCAAACUGAAUCCUCAGAGACUCCAGGAAGAAGUAAGAAUAGAGAUUCCCCUGAGAACUUCACUUAUGCUCCUGUGUGUCCAGCUAAACUGGUCAAAUGGACAGCCACCAAUGGAACAGAGCCCUCCUGACCUGAAAGUUCAGGAAAGAAAGAGCUUCACAGUGAACUGCAGUUACGGAGAAAAUACUUUGGGUUUCUUCCUGUGGUUGAGGCAGGAUCCUGGGGAAAGCCUCCACAUUCUGAUAGAAGUGCAAUCAAACGAGAAGGAGAAGGUCAGUGGAAGAUUCACAGCCAGUCUUAACAGAGAGGAUCAGUGCUUUUGCCUGCACGUGAACGAUUCUCACCUCCAUGACUCAACCACGUCUCUGUGCGCAGCGAGUAACACUGUGCUACUCAGGCACCUGUACCCUGCGCCCAAGCUCUACUCAGCACUGCGCCCUCUUCUACAAGGGCUCCAGGGCACUGACUUUAACUCUGAGGAAAGGGAAACACGAGGGGCUUUUUAUAAGCUGAUGUCAAAUAUUUCAUUUGAAGAUCAUGGGCAGAGGGAUGAUGUUUUCAAAUACCAUCUAAUGUAUUUUGUUUCUCAGUGUGAAGUCUUUACUCUGUUAAAACUAGUCCAAAAUCCUGAGGCUCAAUAUGAGAAAGGAGAAAGAACCAAAGAACAAAGAGAGAACAGAAUAAAAUUUUGCCCUUGAGCUCCUUUGUAGAUUUUUACAAAUAUACUGAAAAUACAAAAUCUUAAAAGCCAUGACCGUCAAAUUCAGUAGUGAAAGAAAAUAGAUUUUGACAUUCUGAAAAGACGGGCUUAGAAGAUCAAGUACCAAAAGCUGAGGGAAAAUGGUUUAAAGUUUAUAAAGGGCAGAGUGUAAAGAUGGCACAGUAUGGUUGAAAAUCUGGUUCCUCCCGAAAAGAGGAUACAAUUCCAACUGACUGGCUAGGGAAGAGUCAAAGGAGGUAUAGCCAGAAGUUAUAAGCCAGUUGUCUUUGAAAAGUGCCCCACAUCAUCUCUUCUCUAGGGUCAGAACCCUGAGCAGGUGAAUGGGCGGAGGGCAAGUCACACUUGGGGUGACCAUGAACCGACGAGCAGUGAGUGUAAACACAGCGUUUGGAUCAUUGUGUCUCACAUCAGUACCCACCACAGAGCAUCCACUACAAGGAAGUGCCCAACAACCAU
Molecule: long non-coding RNA, 3461 nt
Organism: Callorhinus ursinus (northern fur seal)
Lineage: Eukaryota; Metazoa; Chordata; Mammalia; Carnivora; Otariidae
Source: RefSeq, a predicted model, not a curated record